RNAcentral lists this ribosomal RNA (873 nucleotides) under Triticum aestivum (bread wheat). RNAcentral's name for it is "partial small subunit ribosomal RNA". Lineage: Eukaryota; Viridiplantae; Streptophyta; Magnoliopsida; Poales; Poaceae. The record is from RNAcentral.
AUGCGCAGCCCCCACGACCUGGCGCUGGUUUGCCUCCCCGGCGCGGACGACGGGCUUCGACUCCAGGUGCUCGACCCAGUAAUCGGUGUCCAAUUCGCCUUACCGGAUGUCGACCAUGACAGGGAGCAACCCCAUCACGCGUCGUUUAUGUUCGGCAGGGCGUCCACCGGAGGCUAUAAGGUGUUGUGCAUCAGAACGUCUGGGCCGAACGGACAGCAGCAGCUUUGCAGGGUGCUCACCCUCUCGGGCAAUGCUGGCGACCAUGGAUGGAGAGAGACGGCGUGCCCGCCGGCCAAGGUCAGUACGGGCCGCCGAGAGGCGGUAGCCGUCAAGGGGGUUGCCUAUUUCUUGCUGCACGGCCGUCGUCCCGAGGUGUGUAUCAUGGCGUACGACCUGGAGAAGGAGCUGUGGCGGCCGGCUUCCCUGCCGGUCCCUCUACCCAGCAACAGCAACAAGCAGAAGCCAAGGAGCAUGUUAUACCACAGUUUGGCCGAGCUGGGCGGCUGCUUCGCCCUACUGUACGAGGACUGGGAGGAGUUCAUGGAGCUGUGGUUGCUCAUGGACCCCGGCAAGGUUAUCUGGUCCAAGCGGUGCACCAUCACCGUGCCGUAUCGGUACCAGGGUGUCUACGACUCACGUGUUUAUCCAUAUUUUGCGGAGAUGUUGUGGCUGCUAGAUGAUGGGAGGAUCGUCAUUUGGAUGUUGCUGGCUGAGUCAGGACUUCCCCAUGCGGUGUUGUGUACAUAUGACCCAAGAACCAUGUCCUACACGGAUGUGGCAGACAUGCCAAACUACAUUAUGGGAGGUGUCUAUACAGGGAGCUUGUUGGGUCGAGAGAGUUUCCUCCAACUCCACCAAGGAAGUUCAGCGUAG